AACGCAAGUUGCGCCCGAAGCCAUUAGGCCGAGGGCACGCCUGCCUGGACGUCACACGUCGUUGCCCCCCCAUCUACUCCUUCGGGAUUGCGGGGGGCGGAUGAUGGCCUCCCGUGCGCCUCGUCGCGCGGUUGGCAUAAAUGCCAAGUCCUCGGCGACGCACGCCACGACAAUCGGUGGUUGCAAAACCUCGGUUGCCCGUCGUGUGCAGUCGUCGCGCAUCGAGGGCUCGAAAAAAUUGCUAGGCUCCGGCUCGGCUUUCAAUGCGACCCCAGGUCAGGCGGGGUUACCUGCUGAAUUUAA
This 303-nucleotide unclassified non-coding RNA is filed under the name uncultured soil eukaryote. RNAcentral's name for it is "sequence contains 5.8S rRNA gene, ITS2, 28S rRNA gene". The record is from RNAcentral.